RNAcentral lists this long non-coding RNA (2724 nucleotides) under Salvia miltiorrhiza (redroot sage). Its description in RNAcentral is "long non-coding RNA (SMIL_LNC008264)". Lineage: Eukaryota; Viridiplantae; Streptophyta; Magnoliopsida; Lamiales; Lamiaceae. The record is from RNAcentral.
UUUGAUCUUGAUUACUGAUUCUGUUUUUGUUUUUUGUUUUUUUGGGUAAUGAAGGUUUUUGGGUUUGAGCAAGUAGAGUCUCCAAAGUUCGAAUUUGAGGUGAUAUGGUUGAAGCUUGGUUCAUCCAUGUUGCUGCACCUCAUAGAAAGGGACCCCACCGUCAUGCUUCCCGAAGGUCCAUGGAGCUCCGUGGCGGCUGUGGCAGACCCAAAGAACCUUCCAAGAGGACACCAUAUCUGUUUCUAUGUACCCGAAUUCGACUCCUUUGUUCAGAGAGUAAAGGUACACAAUGUCUAGCCUCUCUUCUCUGUUUCGCGCAAAUAGUGGAUUAUAUCUUUCAUUGUGUAUGAGAGUAUGUGUUUGCAGUUAGUUGUGUGAUUGUUAUUGUGAAUAUUUAGAAUAAUGGUGCUUUCUGAGUUCUGUCUAGGACCUUCUUGGCUGAAUCAAUGUCGUUUUUAGAAGUUUUUGCUUCAUUUUAUAGUAAUUUCGUUGAUAUAUUCGAUUAGAUAGAUUGAAGCUAGCUGCUUUGUGGUAUAAUUUGUAUAUAGAUCUGUGGUAGGGCUGUGUUUGAUGGCUCGAGAACUUGGCUGGACACUCUGUAAUUAUGUCAACAGUUGCUUCGAAUUUUCAUAUUUCGCUUGCAAAUUCCAACAUAGAUAAGUACUAAGGAUCCCCCUUUCGUAGCAUGCACCUUGUACCACUUCAAAACACCGGAAAUUCCUACGUUUGAUCUUUUCAAGCUUCGCUUCGCACUGUUGCUUGUUAUAAGACGCGAGUAUUAGUGUAGGAAUUUCCGGUGUUACUACGAUCUUCUUUUUAAGAUCAAAUGUGAUAUUUGCAAUUUCAUUGGUAGAUGAAGUUGCUAGUUUUAUCAUUUGUUGAUCUCGGAUGGUAAGUUACCUCGAAGUUUAGUUUGUUCUUCUGUAUUUCUAGGUGUGUUCAUCCGUCGUUACAAUAAUAUAAAUGGAAGCAUAUUCCUUUGGUUGAUAAAUUUAUCAUGAGAAAAUAAGGGAUAUAAAAAAUUUCUCCUUUUAAAACCCCUUCUUUUUUAUUCCUUAUUUUCUACAAAAGAGAAUUAUAUCCUUUCUCAUUCCUUCUUUUCACAAAAUGAUUUGAAGUGAGGGAGGAAUGAAAAAUGGUGAAAUUCUCUUUCGUAGAAAAAUGAUGGAGAUUUGAAGUGAGAAAUUUUGUUAUCCCUCAUUUUCUUAUGAUAAAUUUAUCCAACCACAGAAAGAGCAACUCAAUUUCCAGUUUUCGCUCUUUGCGUUCACGUCUUACGGAAGAUUCGCCUAUUUUCUUUGAGCAGGAUAAAGGAAUUCCGCUUCAUGAGAAGAGUCAACCAGAUGGGAAGACGAAGCAAGCAUUCUUCUUCGAUCCAGACGGUGAGUCAUUCCUCGUGCAAAACAAUUCCUCUGGUCCGAUCCUUCCUUGUUUAACGGGAUCUUCGUUCUAAUAUGCAGGAAACGGGCUAGAGGUAUCGAGCCAGAUGCCGUCACAGUAAAUCAGGUGUAGUCAUACAUGAUCCAACGAUACUAGUGAGCGAAUGGGAACGAAGUGCAUCUUAGUUGUUAAUACGUUUCCUCUCUAACUAGUAGGUCAGGAAUUCGAGUCAUCUAGUAUGCGUCAGUGUGUGUAACUCUAAAAAAAGAAUGUUGUGUAAAAUAUAUGUAUGUCCAAAAGGCUGGCUUAUGCCUAGCUUAUGAAAAUGUUUUGGUAUUUAUUCUAAUUGGCCAACUUGUUGCAAUGAGGCUUCUUCUUGGCUUCAAGAUAUUGCAAUUUUGGAUAUUAUUGAAUAAAUACUCCAAUAUAUCUUCUCCUUACAAAAUUGCAAAGACAAAGCUUAUCCAAAUAUAGGAGAGGUUUGAUGAUUCGAAUGAAUUUACUGAAACUUCUAAAUUAUGCUUAAAUAUAUGAAUUAUUAAUUACAAUUUUUUAAACGUCUGAUAUCAAACGCCUCUCUAAAUUCUACAUGGAGGUACAUCUUUUGCUGAUACCCUUCGAGUUUUCACUUUCUUAAUUUCGCCAAAUUUAUGAGUUUUUUAGUAAAAAUAGCAAGUUAAUUUUGUGGGUCUUGUGGAAUCUUCGAAUUUAAGCCAAAGGUGUUGGUUUCUUGGUGUAGAUAAGGUUCUGGAUAAAAUGAAAAAUAUGUUGAUUUUCACUUGUUUUAGACUCUUAGGGUUUCAGUUGGUGAUUAAUCAGAUUGUGUUUAAUCAUUGGAAAAUUUAAGCAAUUGAAUAGUGCAAUGAGUAAAAAAAGUGAUCUUGAUUAGUGGGACCAUUGUUUUUUGUUUAUUUGUAAUGAAGGUUGUUGGGCUUGAGCAGGUGGAGUCUCCAAAGUUCAAAUUUGAUCUUUAUUAGUGUUUCUUAUUUUGUUUUGUUAUGUUUUUGGAUAAUGAAGGUUUUUGGGUUUGAGCAGGUGGAGGCUCCAAAGUUCAAAUUUGAUCUUGAUUAGUGAUUCUGUUUUUGUUUUUGUUUUGUUUUUGGGUAAUGAAGGUUUUUGGGUUUGAGCAAGUAGAGUCUCCAAAGUUCGAAUUUGAGGUGAUAUGGUUGAAGCUUGGUUCAUCUAUGUUGCUGCACCUCAUAGAAAGGGACCCCACCGUCAUGCUUCCCGAAGGUCCAUGGAGCUGCUCCACGGCGGCGGUGGCAGACCCAAAGAACCUUCCAAGAGGGCACCAUGUCUGUUUCUAUGUACCCGAAUUCGACUCCUUUGUUCAGAGAGUAAAGG